This 85-nucleotide transfer RNA is filed under the name Bacteroidales bacterium. Its description in RNAcentral is "tRNA-Leu". It matches the Rfam family "tRNA". From Rfam's summary of the family: Transfer RNA (tRNA) molecules are approximately 80 nucleotides in length. Their secondary structure includes four short double-helical elements and three loops (D, anti-codon, and T loops). Lineage: Bacteria; Pseudomonadati; Bacteroidota; Bacteroidia; Bacteroidales. The record is from RNAcentral.
GCCCAGGUGGCGGAAUUGGUAGACGCGCAUGGUUGAGGGCCAUGUUCUCAUUGUGAGAGUGCUGGUUCGAUUCCAGUCCUGGGCA